AGGCUCAGAAGGAACAAUGAUAAAAUGGUAGAACAACAUGACAUCACCUCCGCAUCACAAAACAGGCAAAGUUAUAAUCCUCUUCACUAGGAUCCCUCUGUGACUCCUCUAAACAGAAACAAUAACAAAAAAGCAGAGGCAGAGAUUAAGCACACUUACAGAUUUCAGAGGGGAAAAAACUUAGAAAAGUAAAAAACGAAUGUGGACUGAUGCCAUUGCAGCACCUGUGACCUGCCUGGACUCCGUCAUCACAAUGUCAAAAUUCUGUCACAAUGUCAAAAUUCUGUCACAGUGCCAAAAUUCUGUCACAGUGUCAAAAUUCUGCUGAGUUUCACGCCAAGGGAGGGGAAGGAGAAUAUUCAUCCUCUUUUCCCAUUUGGUGUCACAUGCAAUUAUAUGGGGCCCAAAGCAGAUCAGCUUAUAUCCAGCACCUCUUAUAUGGAAGGCAUCAAUGAGAACCAAAAUAAAAACUACAAUCCCUCACUCAAGAAGUUUAAAAUGAAGUGAAUGGACAAUUGUGAGAAGAAAUGCUAUUGAUCUUCCAAAGUUGUAUAUUCGAUAGUGAAUAUUGUAUGUUUAAAGUAACCUUGCAAAAUGUGUCAUGUCAAAUGUAAUAAAUUGUAUGUUCUGACGAAGGAAUGGAAUGCCAGAUCUAAGGAACUGAAAUUUAUCUGGGCACUGG
This 682-nucleotide long non-coding RNA is filed under the name Homo sapiens (human). Its description in RNAcentral is "HSALNT0345749". The record is from RNAcentral. Lineage: Eukaryota; Metazoa; Chordata; Mammalia; Primates; Hominidae.